CGCUGGCGGCGUGCCUAACACAUGCAAGUCGAACGGGACUUAGUGGGAAAGCGGCUUCGGCCAAUGGAAGCUAAGUUUAGUGGCGAACGGGUGAGUAACGCGUGAGGAACCUGCCUUUCAGUGGGGGACAACAGUUGGAAACGACUGCUAAUACCGCAUAAUGUGUCUUGGGGGCAUCCCCGAGAUACCAAAGCUUUAUGUGCUGAAAGAUGGCCUCGCGUCUGAUUAGCUAGUUGGUGGGGUAACGGCCCACCAAGGCGACGAUCAGUAGCCGGUCUGAGAGGAUGAACGGCCACAUUGGGACUGAGAUACGGCCCAGACUCCUACGGGAGGCAGCAGUGGGGAAUAUUGGGCAAUGGGGGAAACCCUGACCCAGCAACGCCGCGUGAAGGAAGAAGGCCUUCGGGUUGUAAACUUCUUUUAGUAGGGACGAAGAACGUGACGGUACCUACAGAAAAAGCAACGGCUAACUACGUG
This 477-nucleotide ribosomal RNA is filed under the name uncultured bacterium. RNAcentral's name for it is "bacterial SSU rRNA". It matches the Rfam family "Bacterial small subunit ribosomal RNA", at positions 34 to 507 of the family's 1533-position model. The record is from RNAcentral.